UCAAAGCUAACGUUAGAACCCUAGCAAAUAUUUUAGGGUUCUUGGGAGUUUGGAGAGAUCGCCUCGUCUAGCGGCAAGUAAGCGAGAUUCUUGUGCUGGGAUUGAGGCACAGGCCGCAGAUAUACUCCGAGCUUCCUCGAAUCGGAGAUGUUUUGGAUCAUUUCUCCAGCUUGGGAGCUUCUGCCACAACAAGAUCGACGAAAUUCUGCCCAGGAUCGCCGAAAUCUUGCUUGCUGGGGACGAGGUCGAUCGCAGGACGGUCGAAAUCUUGCUUGCUGGGGACGAGGUCGAUCGCAGGACGGUCGAAAUCUUGCUCGCCCGGGACGACGCCGGCAGCAUUGAUCUCCAUCGCUGCGGUCUCUGCAUGGCCACUGGGGACGGGGCCGCAGCGAUGAUCCAG
This 400-nucleotide long non-coding RNA is filed under the name Selaginella moellendorffii. RNAcentral describes it as "long non-coding RNA (SMOE_LNC001349)". The record is from RNAcentral. Lineage: Eukaryota; Viridiplantae; Streptophyta; Lycopodiopsida; Selaginellales; Selaginellaceae.